UAAAAGCAGGGGAGGGGACAAAGGAGAACUUGGAACACUUAUGUUAGCAUCUGGUGUAACAACAUAGGAACAUGUAUGAAGUUUGGGGGACCCCACCUGGCUUAGCAUUCAGAGACUACCUCUGGGUUUAACCGGCCUGAUUCUGGAUGAUCAUUCUGGUGGUAUGGGGAAGAUGGUGUGGGGAGGGGGAGAGACAGCCAAAGGUCAACACCCUAUGCCCUUCAGAGUGGUCAGCCUCACAGACCACUCUGAGAGAAUGGGUAGCCAUGUCUGUACUACAUACUGGAGACAUGACUGUGGAAUGGAAGUUUCAAAACUAAGUCAGAGAACCCUCUGAUCCUGCAAACACACAUGCACACACACAGAGACAUCAACCAUCUCUAAUUUGUUGGCACCCACCAGGGAUACCUUGGGCAUCUGAAGUCAGUCUCCAUGUCUGUGGGUCUCGUGUAACCAUAACUACUUGGAGUUUUUUAAAACUGCAUUAUUUCUUUGUUCCUCAGUGUCUGACAAUGCCUGCCAGGAUGGGCACUGAUGAAUAUGGUUGAACGGAACUCCAAGGACCACCCAGGUUGAUAGUAGUGAGGUGAGGGGUUCACAGCACUGGCAGUGGUCCCCAGGGCUUCUUCCCAGCUUGUACGUGGGGUUGGGGGUCCUUUCUUUAGUCUCUCAGUGAUCAGACUGGGCAAACUCUCUGAUAAGCAAGACAGGGCACCUAGGCAGCUUCAGGUGAUGGAAAGAAAAGUCUCUGAGAGGCAGGACACCUCAGCCUCAGCUACCCCGUGAGCAGUGAUUUAACCUCUCUAAGCCUCAGUUUCCCACUUGGAAUAUGUGCCAAGGGAGGUUCGAGUUUUGAGCUCUUCCCAGCUGUAAACUCUGCAUUGGCAGAGACACCGUGGAGACACGCGAAUCAAAUGGUGGGAGGGCAGGAGAUAGCACGCUUCUCUGCUUAGUCCUCCUUCCAUCACCACUGGAAAAUGAGCGUGAACACUGCCCUUGACCCUGCAGUCAUAAGUCAUGCAGGUGGUGGCGGGGUGGGGGUGUAGGGUGAGCCUACCCGCUGCUCUCUUCUUUAGCUUCAGGGCCUUUUCAUUUCCCGGCAGCAACGAGGUGCACUGAGCACUUGUCGGGGCUGUGUUUGGAGCCCAUCAACAGUGCUACCAGCUUUAGUUCCAUCAACCCCAGGCUUUUGUAACAACUGGUUGCAUGAAACCCUCCCUUGUAGUUUGUGUACAGAAGACUGCAAUGAAUUGAAGUCAUGAGACAUACAGCCAGGAUCCUGAAAGCCACCAACAUAUGUCACCUGCCUGGGAGGCUUGCUUCGAUGGUCAUCUUGUUCUGCCUGCUAAGACCAGGAGUCACAGCUGUUGACAUCAUGGUGAAUAAAAACAUUUUCUGCCACAGGU
This 1406-nucleotide long non-coding RNA is filed under the name Homo sapiens (human). Its description in RNAcentral is "non-protein coding lnc-SSTR4-1:3". Lineage: Eukaryota; Metazoa; Chordata; Mammalia; Primates; Hominidae. The record is from RNAcentral.